UUUUCGAUAAAAAUCAAAACAAGAAGUCACCAUUAAUCUUUUUUAGGAUGUGAUUAGCCACCUAAAAAUUUAUCCUUUUUUAUAAAACAUUUAAAAGAUUUAAAGGUAUUAUAAAAAUAACAAAUUAAGGUUCGUGAAAUCAAAUUUAGGGUGCUAGAGUUAAUUACGCGCAGGAAGGAUUAGCACCCCCAAUACACCCAAUGUGGCGAAAAAGAGUUUUUCAAGGAGAUAUGAAAUGGUCGCGUGGUUAAGAUCUCCAACUUCGCGUCUACUUUUAGGAAAUGUGUGGUGUCGAAAAUCUCAUAACGAGUCUAUCAAAGGUGAAAGAUAGCCCUAAAGUUAGGCUCAAGAGAUAGUCAUUCUCAAUUGUCAACCCACGUGACAAUCAUGCUUGUAAAACAGACGACUUCUUGAAAAUAAUGUUGAAGGAUCCAACAAUCAGUUAUCCUAAAUAAUAGUUGAAAGAAAUG
Molecule: long non-coding RNA, 470 nt
Filed under: Durio zibethinus
Lineage: Eukaryota; Viridiplantae; Streptophyta; Magnoliopsida; Malvales; Malvaceae
Description: long non-coding RNA (DZIB_LNC000091)
Source: RNAcentral